This 675-nucleotide ribosomal RNA is filed under the name uncultured crenarchaeote. RNAcentral describes it as "bacterial SSU rRNA". It matches the Rfam family "Archaeal small subunit ribosomal RNA", at positions 323 to 1000 of the family's 1478-position model. Lineage: Archaea; Thermoproteati; Thermoproteota. The record is from RNAcentral.
CUAUGGGGUGCAGCAGUUGCGAAAACUCCGCAAUGCGCGAAAGCGUGACGGGGCUACCCCGAGUGCCGCCCGUUGAGGGCGGCUUUUCCACGGUGUAAGGAGCCGUGGGAAUAAGGAGAGGGCAAGACUGGUGUCAGCCGCCGCGGUAAUACCAGCUCUCCGAGUGGUGGGGACGAUUAUUGGGCUUAAAGCGUUCGUAGCCGGCUUAACAAGUCUUCCGUUAAAUCCAACGAUCUAAUCGUUGGGCUGCGGGAGAUACUGUUGGGCUAGGAGGCGGGAGAAGCCGACGGUAUUCUCGGGGUAGGGGUGAAAUCCUGUAAUCCCGGGAGGACCACCAGUGGCGAAGGCGGUCGGCUAGAACGCGCUCGACGGUGAGGGACGAAAGCUGGGGGAGCGAACCGGAUUAGAAACCCGGGUAGUCCCAGCUGUAAACGAUGCGGGCUAGGUGUUGGGGUGGCCACGAGCCACUUCAGUGCCGCAUGGAAGCAAUUAAGCCCGCCGCCUGGGGAGUACGGCCGCAAGGCUGAAACUUAAAGGAAUUGGCGGGGGAGCACCACAAGGCGUGAAGCUUGCGGUUUAAUUGGAGUCAACGCCGGGAAACUUACCGGGGGCGACAGCAGUAUGAAAGCCAGAUUGAAGGUCUUGCUGGACGAGCUGAGAGGUAGUGCAUGGCCC